MicroRNA precursor from Athene cunicularia (burrowing owl), 72 nucleotides. Ensembl annotates it as microRNA 101-2. The record is from Ensembl. NCBI's taxonomy places the organism in Eukaryota, Metazoa, Chordata, Aves, Strigiformes, Strigidae.
UUUUUCGGUUAUCAUGGUACCGGUGCUGUAUACGUGAAAGGUACAGUACUGUGAUAACUGAAGAAUGGUGGU